RNAcentral lists this non-coding RNA (32 nucleotides) under Rattus norvegicus (Norway rat). Lineage: Eukaryota; Metazoa; Chordata; Mammalia; Rodentia; Muridae. The record is from RNAcentral.
UGGAGCUAGAAAUCAUCCAGAUGAGGUUGCCU